AAUCAAGUGACUUAAGGGCAUUUAGUGGAUGCCUUGGGAUGCACAGGCGAUGAAGGACGUGAUACGCUGCGAAAAGCGUCGGGGAGCUGCGAAUAAGCUUUGAUCCGAUGAUAUCCGAAUGGGGAAACCUACCUUAGAUGUCUAGAAAAUUUAAGGUGUUCUUUUUGAACAUCUUAUCUUUCUAGAUAUCGCAAAAAGGUAUCUGCACCUGAAUAAAAUAGGGUGUAUGAAGCGAACGUGGGGAACUGAAACAUCUAAGUACCCAUAGGAAAGGACAUCAACCGAGACUCCGUUAGUAGCGGCGAGCGAACGCGGACCAGCCCGUAUCUGUUAUAAAACCAAAAGCGUCUGGAAAGUCGCGCCAUAGAGGGUGAUAGCCCCGUAUGGGUAGAAAAGCAGAUCGUUAGAGUAAGGCGGAACACGUGAAAUUCUGUCUGAACAUGGGGGGACCACCCUCCAAGGCUAAGUACUCUCUACCGACCGAUAGCGAACAAGUACCGUGAGGGAAAGGUGAAAAGCACCCCGACAAGGGGAGUGAAAUAGUGCCUGAAACCGGAUGCAUACAAACAGUCGGAGCCCGCAAGGGUGACGGCGUACCUUUUGUAUAAUGGGUCAGCGAGUUAGUUUAUCGUGCAAGCUUAAGCCGUUAGGUGUAGGCGCAGCGAAAGCGAGUCUGAACAGGGCGUUCAGUACGAUGAAUUAGACCCGAAACGAAGUGAUCUAGGUAUGGCCAGGUUGAAGGUGCGGUAACACGCACUGGAGGACCGAACCCACGUCUGUUGAAAAAGACGGGGAUGAGCUGUGCCUAGGGGUGAAAGGCCAAUCAAACUUCGAAAUAGCUGGUUCUCCGCGAAAUCUAUUUAGGUAGAGCGUUGGACGAAUACCUCAGGGGGUAGAGCACUGGAUGGGCUAUGGGGACUCACCGUCUUACUGAUCC
Molecule: ribosomal RNA, 937 nt
Filed under: Deltaproteobacteria bacterium
Lineage: Bacteria; Pseudomonadati; Myxococcota; Myxococcia
Description: partial 23S ribosomal RNA
Rfam family: Bacterial large subunit ribosomal RNA
Source: RNAcentral